RNAcentral lists this ribosomal RNA (496 nucleotides) under uncultured bacterium. RNAcentral's name for it is "partial 16S ribosomal RNA". It matches the Rfam family "Bacterial small subunit ribosomal RNA", at positions 28 to 506 of the family's 1533-position model. The record is from RNAcentral.
GAUGAACGCUGGCGGCGUGCCUAAUACAUGCAAGUCGAGCGAACGGACGAGAAGCUUGCUUCUCUGAUGUUAGCGGCGGACGGGUGAGUAACACGUGGAUAACCUACCUAUAAGACUGGGAUAACUUCGGGAAACCGGAGCUAAUACCGGAUAAUAUUUUGAACCGCAUGGUUCAAAAGUGAAAGACGGUCUUGCUGUCACUUAUAGAUGGAUCCGCGCUGCAUUAGCUAGUUAGUAAGGUAACGGCUUACCAAGGCAACGAUGCAUAGCCGACCUGAGAGGGUGAUCGGCCACACUGGAACUGAGACACGGGCCAGACUCCUACGGGAGGCAGCAGUAGGGAAUCUUCCGCAAUGGGCGAAAGCCUGACGGAGCAACGCCGCGUGAGUGAUGAAGGUCUUCGGAUCGUAAAACUCUGUUAUUAGGGAAGAACAUAUGUGUAAGUAACUGUGCACAUCUUGACGGUACCUAAGCAGAAAGCCACGGCUAACUACGU